UACGUAGGGAGCAAGCGUUGUCCGGAAUAAUUGGGCGUAAAGCGCGCGUAGGUGGCUUCGUAAGUCCGUUGUGAAAGUCAAAGGCUCAACCUUUGAAAGCCGAUGGAUACUGUGAAGCUAGAGUACGGAAGAGGCGAGUGGAAUUCCUGGUGUAGCGGUGGAAUGCGCAGAUAUCAGGAGGAACACCAAUAGCGAAGGCAGCUCGCUGGGACGUUACUGACACUGAGGCGCGAAAGCGUGGGGAGCGAACAGG
Molecule: ribosomal RNA, 253 nt
Filed under: uncultured bacterium
Lineage: Bacteria
Description: partial 16S ribosomal RNA
Rfam family: Bacterial small subunit ribosomal RNA
Source: RNAcentral